This is a long non-coding RNA of Rhopalosiphum padi (bird cherry-oat aphid), 762 nucleotides long. RefSeq lists it as uncharacterized. The transcript has 2 exons. The record is from RefSeq and is a predicted model, not a curated record. Lineage: Eukaryota; Metazoa; Arthropoda; Insecta; Hemiptera; Aphididae.
AUUGAAGCCAACAAUCCGCCAUUUUAAUUGAGGCCAGAACAUCAUAUCAGUUGUUAUUAUUUAUAAUGAUAACAAAUGUUUUUUCUUCAAGCUUAAAUUUUCAAUAUUAAAAAAAAAAUAAUUCUUAAGUUCACAAGUUGUAACUAUAAAUAAAUUCAAAAAUUAACUAUUAGAUAUUUUUAGUUUUACAUAUAAAUAAAAAAUGAAACCGGUCAUUUUCAAUUUUUUAUAAUAUAAAUAAAUAAAUCAAAUUGAGUAUUAAAACUAAAACAUUCUUCGUCAAAUUGUAUGAUACAAGAAUCAUUAGCUAUAGUAAGCUAUUAUUAGGAUAACAUUGAUCAGUAAAUUACAUGUUAUAAAUAAAAUAGUUUUCUUUAGUUUUUAUCUUUUGCCUGCCAUUUUAACGCUUGACCAUGUCAUUACUUAACUGCAAGUUUUUGUAAUUCUAUUUAAUCGCAAAAAGUGAAUCUUCAAUAGGUGACAAUAAUGCACAAUUUCCAGAACUCAUCUUAAUAGAAUUAUGCUAUAAGAUAAUUUUUAAAGCAUUUUUAAACUCCAAACCACUUGGGAGUUGGGUUAUUAUCAUGCCAACAUUUUCCCCGCAUAAAACCAAAGAAUAACUCUAUAGUGUCUUGACUGAAUUUAUAAGUGAGUAUAAACAUAAAACUAUGGUUUACCAAUAAAUCUUUAGUUAUAGUUAUUGUCGAUUUCACAUCUGUAGCAAAACCAAUAAUAAAUGUUUUUCUCUUACUCUUCUAUAAA